Molecule: ribosomal RNA, 550 nt
Filed under: Leccinellum albellum
Lineage: Eukaryota; Fungi; Basidiomycota; Agaricomycetes; Boletales; Boletaceae
Description: LSU rRNA
Rfam family: Eukaryotic large subunit ribosomal RNA
Source: RNAcentral
UAGUAACUGCGAGUGAAGCGGGAAAAGCUCAAAUUUUGAAUCUGGCGGUCGUCACUGGCCGUCCGAAUUGUAAUCUAGAGAAGCGUCUUCCGCGCUGGUCCGUGUACAAGUCUCCUGGAAAGGAACAUCAUAGAGGGUGAGAAUCCCGUCUUUGACACGGACUACCAGUGCUUAUGUGAUGCGCUCUCAACGAGUCGAGUUGUUUGGGAAUGCAGCUCAAAAUGGGUGGUAAAUUCCAUCUAAAGCUAAAUACACGCGAGAGACCGAUAGCGAACAAGUACCGUGAGGGAAAGACGAAAAGAACUUUGAAAAGAGAGUUAAACAGUACGUGAAAUUGCUGAAAGGGAAACACUUGAUGUCAGUCGCGUUGAUUAGGGGUCAGCCUGGCUUAAUUGCCUGGUGUAAUUCCUAGUUGAUGGGUCAGCAUUAGUUUUUGGUUAUUGUACAAAGGCUUUGGGGAAAGUAGCAUUCUUUAGGGAAUGUAUUAUAGACCCUUAUGUUGAAUGCAAUGAUUAGGACUAAGGAUAGCUCUGCACGAAACUAGCUUUUU